This 253-nucleotide ribosomal RNA is filed under the name uncultured bacterium. Its description in RNAcentral is "partial 16S ribosomal RNA". It matches the Rfam family "Bacterial small subunit ribosomal RNA", at positions 524 to 776 of the family's 1533-position model. The record is from RNAcentral.
UACGAAGGGGGCUAGCGUUGUUCGGAAUUACUGGGCGUAAAGCGCACGUAGGCGGACAUUUAAGUCAGGGGUGAAAUCCCAGAGCUCAACUCUGGAACUGCCUUUGAUACUGGGUAUCUCGAGUAUGGAAGAGGUGAGUGGAAUUCCGAGUGUAGAGGUGAAAUUCGUAGAUAUUCGGAGGAACACCAGUGGCGAAGGCGGCUCACUGGUCCAUUACUGACGCUGAGGUGCGAAAGCGUGGGGAGCAAACAGG